AUUGCAGGACACAUUGAACAUCGAGAUCUUGAACGCAUAUUGCGGCCUCGGGCACUCCCGAGGCCACGCCCGUCUCAGGGUCGGUUGAAAAUCCAAUCGCGGGUCGCUCUCAGCCCGCGCACUGGAGCGUCGCAGCGUGGCUGCGGUGGCGCUCGGAUCUGUUGCGAGUUACGUUCGCGAGGCGUUCCGGUUGUCGGCGGCGGGCAGUUUUCGGCCCGUGCCAGCCGGUCGGUCGUCUCGCGGAGCCCGAGCUCGCGGCUACACGGUCCUUGCGCGGCUGCGGUCGUCGCUUCGUCGUCCGAAGAACAGACCUGGCUCACUCGCUCCGUCGGCGGCGGCGUCGUGUCGACGCGCAGUCGGCGCUAGGGCGGGACGGCGAGUCGGUGUACUUUGAGUCCGUCGCCUGUCCGUCUUACGCGUCGGUCCGUCGGCCUCGGCGCCGUCUGCUGACGAUAGUCUGUGGUGUACCGUAUGGAAUCAGAACUCACACUUCGACCUGAGAUCGGACGAGAUUACCCGCUGAAUUUAAGCAUAU
RNAcentral lists this unclassified non-coding RNA (535 nucleotides) under Eiseniella tetraedra. RNAcentral describes it as "sequence contains ITS2". The stretch from base 1 to 83 matches the Rfam family "5.8S ribosomal RNA", at positions 71 to 154 of the family's 154-position model. The record is from RNAcentral. Lineage: Eukaryota; Metazoa; Annelida; Clitellata; Crassiclitellata; Lumbricidae.